UGGGAACGUGCCCAAAGGUACGGAACAACUCCGGGAAACUGGAGCUAAUACCGUAUGUGCCCGAAAGGGGAAAGAUUCAUCGCCUUUGGAUCGGCCCGCGUCUGAUUAGCUAGUUGGCGGGGUAAUGGCCCACCAAGGCGACGAUCAGUAGCUGGUCUGAGAGGAUGACCAGCCACACUGGGACUGAGACACGGCCCAGACUCCUACGGGAGCAG
This 215-nucleotide ribosomal RNA is filed under the name uncultured bacterium. RNAcentral describes it as "partial 16S ribosomal RNA". It matches the Rfam family "Bacterial small subunit ribosomal RNA", at positions 118 to 347 of the family's 1533-position model. The record is from RNAcentral.